This 471-nucleotide ribosomal RNA is filed under the name Salmonella enterica. RNAcentral's name for it is "bacterial SSU rRNA". It matches the Rfam family "Bacterial small subunit ribosomal RNA", at positions 1 to 468 of the family's 1533-position model. RNAcentral also lists the same sequence under 1 other name. The record is from RNAcentral. Lineage: Bacteria; Pseudomonadati; Pseudomonadota; Gammaproteobacteria; Enterobacterales; Enterobacteriaceae.
AAAUUGAAGAGUUUGAUCAUGGCUCAGAUUGAACGCUGGCGGCAGGCCUAACACAUGCAAGUCGAACGGUAACAGGAAGCAGCUUGCUGCUUCGCUGACGAGUGGCGGACGGGUGAGUAAUGUCUGGGAAACUGCCUGAUGGAGGGGGAUAACUACUGGAAACGGUGGCUAAUACCGCAUAACGUCGCAAGACCAAAGAGGGGGACCUUCGGGGCUCUUGCCAUCAGAUGUGCCCAGAUGGGAUUAGCUUGUUGGUGAGGUAACGGCUCACCAAGGCGACGAUCCCUAGCUGGUCUGAGAGGAUGACCAGCCACACUGGAACUGAGACACGGUCCAGACUCCUACGGGAGGCAGCAGUGGGGAAUAUUGCACAAUGGGCGCAAGCCUGAUGCAGCCAUGCCGCGUGUAUGAAGAAGGCCUUCGGGUUGUAAAGUACUUUCAGCGGGGAGGAAGGUGUUGUGGUUAAUAACC